RNAcentral lists this long non-coding RNA (631 nucleotides) under Bos mutus (wild yak). Its description in RNAcentral is "lncRNA (ENSBMUG00000010721.1)". Lineage: Eukaryota; Metazoa; Chordata; Mammalia; Artiodactyla; Bovidae. The record is from RNAcentral.
UGGUGCUGGAGGCACUGGUUUUUAAAUAAAGCUGAAUCUUUCUGUUACUUUUCAGGCAGAGGCAAGGCUGGCAGCAAAACGGGCUGCCCGGGCAGAAGCAAGAGAUAUCCGCAUGAGAGAACUGGAACGGCAGCAAAAAGAGGAAGAGUCGGAAAGAGCCAGGUCUUCCCACAGAUCCAGUCAUCGUCGUCCUUCUCUGGUUUGUAAUAACCUACAAACUUGCCUCUGAUACUUUUCCUCAUCAGCUUGCUGCAGCCACUCACACACCUUUACUGUGUUUGUUUUUAUCUUAUCAGGGAGUUGAGGAUGCAUUGUCCAUUCGAAGUCUUGGCAGUCACAGGGUUGGUAUUUUAAGUUGUUUACACCCUAAUAGCAAAGCUAUCCCUUUGUCUUUUCUAAAAAAAGAAAAUAUUGGUAAAGUUCUUUUCAUUGGAAAGUGGUAUUUUCUCUCAAAUUAUUGCUAUAAGUAAAUCAAUUCUAAAAUCGUAAAUAUUUUCAUCUAUUAACAUGUAUAUUUACUUUUUUUCUGUAAAAGGACUUUUGAUUUUGUAAAAUCAUUACAAAAUAAUAAGAUUGAUUUUAUAAAAUAACACCUGCAUGGUUCUAACUUUCAGAUUUUUCCUACUUUCAG